GAUCAUGGCUCAGGAUGAACGCUGGCGGCGUGCUUAACACAUGCAAGUCGAACGAAGCCAAAAGGAAGCUUGCUUUCUUGAAGCUUAGUGGCGGACGGGUGAGUAACGCGUGAGAAACCUGCCCUUGAGUGGGGAAUAACACCGAGAAAUCGGUGCUAAUACCGCAUAAUGUCACGAUACCGCAUGAUAUUGUGACCAAAGGAUUUAUUCGCUUAAGGAUGGUCUCGCGUCCGAUUAGCUAGUUGGUGAGGUAACGGCCCACCAAGGCGACGAUCGGUAGCCGAACUGAGAGGUUGAUCGGCCACAUUGGGACUGAGACACGGCCCAGACUCCUACGGGAGGCAGCAGUGGGGAAUAUUGGGCAAUGGGCGAAAAAGCCUGACCCAGCAACGCCGCGUGAAGGAUGACGGUCUUCGGAUUGUAAACUUCUUUGAUUGGGGAAGAAUAAAUGACCUACCCAAAGAACAAGUCACGGCUAACUACGUGCCAGCCGCGGC
RNAcentral lists this ribosomal RNA (497 nucleotides) under uncultured bacterium. RNAcentral describes it as "bacterial SSU rRNA". It matches the Rfam family "Bacterial small subunit ribosomal RNA", at positions 15 to 518 of the family's 1533-position model. The record is from RNAcentral.